UGGGGAAUAUUGCACAAUGGGGGAAACCCUGAUGCAGCGACGCCGCGUGAACGAAGAAGGUAUUCGUAUCGUAAAGUUCUGUCCUAUGGAAGAUAAUGACAGUACCAUAGAAGAAAGCUCCGGCUAAAUACGUGCCAGCAGCCGCGGUAAUACGUAUGGAGCGAGCGUUGGCCGGAAUUAUUGGGCGUAAAGGGUACGCAGGCGGUUUAAUAAGUCGAAUGUUAAAGAUCGGGGCUCAACCCCGCAAAGCAUUGGAAACUGAUAAACUUGAGUAGUGGAGAGGAAAGUGGAAUUCCUAGUGUAGUGGUGAAAUACGUAGAUAUUAGGAGGAAUACCAGUAGCGAAGGCGACUUUCUGGACACAAACUGACGCUGAGGUACGAAAGCGUGGGGAGCAAACAGG
Molecule: ribosomal RNA, 402 nt
Filed under: bacterium
Lineage: Bacteria
Description: partial 16S ribosomal RNA
Rfam family: Bacterial small subunit ribosomal RNA
Source: RNAcentral